This 439-nucleotide ribosomal RNA is filed under the name uncultured bacterium. RNAcentral describes it as "bacterial SSU rRNA". It matches the Rfam family "Bacterial small subunit ribosomal RNA", at positions 958 to 1398 of the family's 1533-position model. The record is from RNAcentral.
AACGCGAAGAACCUUACCAGGGCUUGACAUGCAGGGAAAUCUCGUAGAGAUACGGGGUCCGUAAGGGUCCUGCACAGGUGGUGCAUGGCUGUCGUCAGCUCGUGUCGUGAGAUGUUGGGUUAAGUCCCGCAACGAGCGCAACCCUCGUCCUAUGUUGCCAGCGAGUUAUGUCGGGGACUCAUAGGAGACUGCCGGGGUCAACUCGGAGGAAGGUGGGGAUGACGUCAAGUCAUCAUGCCCCUUACGUCCUGGGCUGCACACAUGCUACAAUGGCCGGUACAAAGGGCUGCGAUGCCGCAAGGUGGAGCGAAUCCCAAAAAGCCGGUCUCAGUUCGGAUCGGGGUCUGCAACUCGACCCCGUGAAGUCGGAGUCGCUAGUAAUCGCAGAUCAGCAAUGCUGCGGUGAAUACGUUCCCGGGCCUUGUACACACCGCUAGUC